GUGGGGUAAAGGCCUACCAAGGCAACGAUCUGUAGUUGGUCUGAGAGGACGACCAGCCACACUGGGACUGAGACACGGCCCAGACUCCUACGGGAGGCAGCAGUGGGGAAUUUUGGACAAUGGGCGCAAGCCUGAUCCAGCAAUGCCGCGUGCAGGAAGAAGGCCUUCGGGUUGUAAACUGCUUUUGUCAGGGAAGAAAUCCUCUGGGCUAAUACCUCGGGGGGAUGACGGUACCUGAAGAAUAAGCACCGGCUAACUACGUGCCAGCAGCCGCGGUAAUACGUAGGGUGCGAGCGUUAAUCGGAAUUACUGGGCGUAAAGCGUGCGCAGGCGGCUUUGCAAGACAGAGGUGAAAUCCCCGGGCUCAACCUGGGAACUGCCUUUGUGACUGCAUAGCUUGAGUGCGGCAGAGGGGGAUGGAAUUCCGCGUGUA
RNAcentral lists this ribosomal RNA (433 nucleotides) under uncultured bacterium. Its description in RNAcentral is "bacterial SSU rRNA". It matches the Rfam family "Bacterial small subunit ribosomal RNA", at positions 252 to 677 of the family's 1533-position model. The record is from RNAcentral.